RNAcentral lists this ribosomal RNA (404 nucleotides) under uncultured bacterium. Its description in RNAcentral is "partial 16S ribosomal RNA". It matches the Rfam family "Bacterial small subunit ribosomal RNA", at positions 30 to 526 of the family's 1533-position model. The record is from RNAcentral.
AUUGAACGCUGGCGGCAGGCCUAACACAUGCAAGUCGAGCGAGCGGCGGGCGGGUGAGUACUGCCAGGCAAUUGCCCAGUCGAGGGAGCUACCGGUUGGAAACGACUACUAAUACCGCAUACGAAUGGACUGCCCAGGUGUGAUUAGCUAGUUGGUGGGGUAAUGGCCCACCCAGGCGACGAUCCCUAGCUGGUCUGAGAGGAUGAUCAGCCACACGGGAACUGAGACACGGUCCAGACUCCUACGGGAGGCAGCAGUGGGGAAUAUUGCACAAUGGGGGAAACCCUGAUGCAGCCAUGCCGCGUGUGUGAAGAAGGCCUUCGGGUUGUAAAGCACUUUCAGCGAGGAGGCGUUACUCGCAGAAGAAGCACCGGCUAACUCCGUGCCAGCAGCCGCGGUAAUUC